AUUGAACGCUGGCGGCAGGCCUAACACAUGCAAGUCGAGCGGAUGAAGGGAGCUUGCUCCUGGAUUCAGCGGCGGACGGGUGAGGAAUGCCUAGGAAUCUGCCUGGUAGUGGGGGAUAACGUCCGGAAACGGGCGCUAAUACCGCAUACGUCCUGAGGGAGAAAGUGGGGGAUCUUCGGACCUCACGCUAUCAGAUGAGCCUAGGUCGGAUUAGCUAGUUGGUGGGGUAAAGGCCUACCAAGGCGACGAUCCGUAACUGUCUGAGAGGAUGAUCAGUCACACUGGAACUGAGACACGGUCCAGACUCCUACGGGAGGCAGCAGUGGGGAAUAUUGGACAAUGGGCGAAAGCCUGAUCCAGCCAUGCCGCGUGUGUGAAGAAGGUCUUCGGAUUGUAAAGCACUUUAAGUUGGGAGGAAGGGCAGUAAGUUAAUACCUUGCUGUUUUGACGUUACCAACAGAAUAAGCACCGGCUAACUUCGUG
This 483-nucleotide ribosomal RNA is filed under the name uncultured bacterium. Its description in RNAcentral is "partial 16S ribosomal RNA". It matches the Rfam family "Bacterial small subunit ribosomal RNA", at positions 30 to 507 of the family's 1533-position model. The record is from RNAcentral.